Apis florea (little honeybee) is the source of this 463-nucleotide long non-coding RNA. NCBI's taxonomy places the organism in Eukaryota, Metazoa, Arthropoda, Insecta, Hymenoptera, Apidae. The record is from RefSeq and is a predicted model, not a curated record.
AAUGCGAAAAGUUAUGAGUUGAAGAGUGAAAUUGAGAAGUUUCGAGGUGUUUGUCGAUCUAUAAUAUAUAGAGUUCAACACAUUGUGGAUAAGGGACGCGAAUCUAUGGCCUUCGAUUUCCAAGCGUUGGGAACGAGACACGAGAAUCUAUGUCUUUUGUUUACCAACCGUUGGAGAGGGGAGACGUGAAUCUACGUCUUCAGUUUUAUUCCGUCGCGCGGUGUUUACUUCUCGAUUCUCUCCGGUGACGCCGAGGCUUACGGUCGUGCGACGAACUUUUAUAAAGAAAGCGUGAUUCGAUGAAAGAGCAUGCGAUCCUGAAAUUUUGUGAGAUAUACGUGUGUGUGUGUGUGUGUGUGUAUACGAAUGCAUAAAUGAAGCAUUGUUUUGGAAAAAAUUAAUGUCGUUUCAUUUGGUAAAUUCAUUCCAGACAAACGUUUGUUAAUGGUGUGUGGCGAGGGGA